GAUGAACGCUGGCGGCGGGCCUAAUACAUGCAAGUCGAGCGAACAGACGAGGAGUUCGCUCCUCUGACGCUAGCGGCGGACGGGUGAGUAACACGUGGAUAACUGACCUAUAAGACUGGGAUAACUACGGGAAACCGGAUCUAAUACCGGAUAAUAUAGUGAACCGCAUGGAUCAAUAGUGAUAGCCGGUUUUGCUGACACUAAUAGGUGGUACCGCGUCGCAUUAGCUAGUUGGUAAGGUAACGGCCUACCAAGGCUACGAUCCGUAGCUGACCUGAGAGGAUGAUCAGCCACACUGGAACUGAGACACGGUCCAGACUCCUACGGGAGGCAGCAGUGGGGAAUCUUCCACAAUGGGCGAAAGCCUGACCCAGCAACGCCGCGUGAGUGAUGAAGGUCUUCGGAUCGUAAAGCUCUGUUAUUAGGGAAGAACAGAAGUAUAAGAAACUCUGCACGUCUUGACGGUACCUACAGAAAAAGCCCCGGCUAACUACGUG
Molecule: ribosomal RNA, 497 nt
Filed under: uncultured bacterium
Lineage: Bacteria
Description: partial 16S ribosomal RNA
Rfam family: Bacterial small subunit ribosomal RNA
Source: RNAcentral